Molecule: ribosomal RNA, 492 nt
Filed under: uncultured bacterium
Lineage: Bacteria
Description: partial 16S ribosomal RNA
Rfam family: Bacterial small subunit ribosomal RNA
Source: RNAcentral
AGUGAACGCUGGCGGUAGGCCUAACACAUGCAAGUCGAACGGCAGCACAGUAAGAGCUUGCUCUUACGGGUGGCGAGUGGCGGACGGGUGAGGAAUACAUCGGAAUCUACUUUUUCGUGGGGGAUAACGUAGGGAAACUUACGCUAAUACCGCAUACGACCUACGGGUGAAAGCAGGGGAUCUUCGGACCUUGCGCGAUUGAAUGAGCCGAUGUCGGAUUAGCUAGUUGGCGGGGUAAAGGCCCACCAAGGCGACGAUCCGUAGCUGGUCUGAGAGGAUGAUUCGCCACCACGGAACCUGGGCACCGUCCCAGCUCCUGCGGGAAGCCAGAGGGGGGAAUUAUGGGAAAAUGGGGGCAAGCCUGUACCAGCCAACCGGGUGGGGUGAAGAAGCCCUGCGGUUGGUAAACCCUUUUGUUGGGAAAGAAAAGCAGCAGGUUAAUACCCCGCUGUUCUGACGGUACCCAAAGAAUAAGCACCGGCUAACUUCGUG